GCAAGUCGAGGGGUAACAGAGGAGCUUGCUCUUGCUGACGACCGGCGCACGGGUGCGUAACGCGUAUACAAUCUACCUUUUGCUGAGGGAUAGCCCAGAGAAAUUUGGAUUAAUACCUCAUGGUAUUAUUGAUAGGCAUCUAUUAAUAAUUAAAGGUUACGGCAAAAGAUGAGUAUGCGUCCCAUUAGCUAGUUGGUGAAGUAACGGUUCACCAAGGCAACGAUGGGUAGGGGUCCUGAGAGGGAGAUC
Molecule: ribosomal RNA, 249 nt
Filed under: uncultured bacterium
Lineage: Bacteria
Description: partial 16S ribosomal RNA
Rfam family: Bacterial small subunit ribosomal RNA
Source: RNAcentral